UAACCGGGAUCAUCAUCUGGUGGGAGGGAGUGUUUGUUGUUUUUAGCCAAGUUGUGCUCCAUAUGUCAAUGAGAUAUUCCUUUCUCUCACUUGUGGACAUGGAGACAUGGACUUGAGGAUGGUUAUUUAUUAUUUUUGUAUGGUGCAAGUGCCUUGGAAUGUUUGCUAGUCAUUGUACUCUGUUACUAGUGUUGAACAUGUACUACAAAUAUAUUGUCAAGACAUGUAUGUGUUACCCAGGGGUGCUGUGUCAUACACAAGCAUGUCACAUGCUAUACAGAUAGGUCAUAGGAUACCCAGGAAAUUGAAUUUAUUUUCGGGGAUGUCGUAUGAGUGAGUGAGUGAGUUACUAUUUAACGUCACAUCGGCAAUAUCUCAGCCAUAUCGUGACGAAUGAUGAAGGAUGUCGUAUGAUGUCCUUGGAUGUCAUGAUGGGUGUCGUGUCAUGUGGUGCCCAGGGAUGUUGCGAGAUACCGGGGGGGUUCACACACUGUCCAGGUCGAUGUCGCAAUACCCUUGGGUGUCGCCAUCGUGUUGUGUGGUGCCCAGGAGUGUUGUGUGAUACCCGGGGGGUUCUCACACUGUCCAGGUAGGUGUUGAAUACCCUUGGGUGUCUGGGAUAUUGUGUGGUACCUGGGUGUGCCAUACAUUAUCCAGGUGGGUGUCAUGUACCUUGGGUGUUGUGUUGGGUGGUGCCAAGGGAUGUUGCAUGAUACCUGGGAGUGUCUGACACUUUCCAGGUAGGUGUCGUGAUACCCUGGGUGUUGUGUUGAGUGGUGUCAAAGGGUGUUGCAUGAUACCUGGGAGUGUCUGACACUGUCCAGGUAGGUGUCGUGAUACCCUUGGGUGUUGUGUUGAGUGGUGUCAAAGGAUGUUGCAUGAUACCUGGGGGUGUCUGACACUGUCCAGGUAGGUGUCGUGAUACCUCGGGUGUCGUGUUGAGUGGUGUCAAAGGAUGUUGCAUGAUACCUGGGGGUGUCUGACACUGUCCAGGUAGGUGUCCUGAUACCCUGGGUGUCGUGUUGGGUGGUGCCAAGGGAUGUUCAUUGUCAUCUGACCAAGGGUGGGGUGGGAUACACAAGGGUGUCACGCUAAACCAAGGGCUAUUAAUAUAUUACAUUCACAAAUAGGAUUUUACUGGGUUUUCCCCAUGUAUUUUACCAAUUUUACCAAUUUUGAUAAUUACUGUUGUUUAGUCUCUGCAGUACCAGCUUGAUAUGUUUGGGAAGUCAAUCCGGUGCCUGCAUAGCUAAAUACAUUUCCAUGUUCCAUGUUGGCUAUCCUACUUGUGUUGAUGUGGGAUCUGUGUCCAUGUUGUUCUUUUUCAUGAUAAUGCUGAAUAUUUAAUUUCAGAAUUUGCCACAUGUUUUACAGAACCAUGUUUUGGUUUUGCUUUGUUCACACAUCGAAGCAUUCCCACAUGUCACAAACUGUUGAUUUGUAUCUGUGCCGCCUUCAGUGUUGUUUAUGUGUAUAUACCGUACAGAACAAUUACAGAUCAUGAAUGUGUUGAGGGAUAUUUUUUGUAAUUUUGACUGAGCAUGCAAUUUGUAGAUCAGCUGAUAAAUUGAGACAAGUACUGCAUUUUAUAUAUUUGUCUUAUUAUUCUCUUGGCCAAAACCAACUUUCAAGAAUAUAUUUUUUUAUUUAUUGUGUGUGUUCGGGCUGUCAGUGGAUGAUGUAGUUAAUGUAGCAUUCCACAAAUUUAGGGUAUAUUAUCACCACAAAUGUUGAUUAUUGUUUGUUGUUAUAAUAUGAAAUGUUAUGUUACUUACAUGUAUAUGCCAGUUCUUUUUUAUGGGGAAGGUUUCAAAAGUUUGGAUGUUAUUUACAUAUGCAAUUAUACUGAAUACAAUAUACAAUGUUUGUAUAUCCCGACAUUUCCUUGCUCACAUAUGAAACCUGUGCUGUGUUA
This 1915-nucleotide long non-coding RNA is filed under the name Haliotis rubra (blacklip abalone). RNAcentral's name for it is "uncharacterized LOC124257499, transcript variant X1". The record is from RNAcentral. Lineage: Eukaryota; Metazoa; Mollusca; Gastropoda; Lepetellida; Haliotidae.